GCACGAAUUAUCCACGUUCGACGAGGACUUUCGACUUCUCACUGCCCCUCAUAACUUAUUCACAUGUACAAAGAAUAAUUCUAAUCUUUUUUUUCUUUUCAGAGGUGUCAUUCAAAAGGUGUAGAGAAAUCUUAAAUCUCUUUAGCGCGGCAUUGUGCAAACUUAUGUUAUGCGUUCUCGAUCGGUGGGAAAGCUUCAAAGAAUUUUUUUGUCAUAACAUAUGGAAAAGAUAAUGUUAUAAAAUAAUUAAAUAUGAGGAUUUUUACUUGCGACUGAAACCAAUUAUAAUUUGAAGCAAUAGGUGCCGUGUUUGCUGACAGUGCACAUAUAUUUCCAAACGCAUUUGCCCAUGCCCAAAAUCAUUCGGAUCAGAAGAGUCCAUUUGUUAAGAAUAUGCCGUGUUAAAGUUGUUGUUGUGGACGGUAAAAGUUGAAUUUCUAAGCAAUAAAUAGAGAAAACGAUGAGGUUAUUACGGACGGCCUUGUGUGAUUAAGCCAUGUCGCAAGAAUAUGUUCUCAAGUGGUACAAAGACUUUAAAAAAGGCCGCGAACGAGUACAGGACGAACACCAACCAGAACGACCAUCAACAUCGACCGCUAACGAAAUCAAAGAUUUGAUGCGUGAAUGUCGUGAAUUGACAAUUGAUGACCUUUCAUUUGGAUCAACCCGAACCAUUUUUAAAGAUCUUUUCUGCCUUAAAAGCUGUGAAAUCUCGAUUGUUUAAAUUUUUGCAGUUCACCAAAAACUCAAACCACGUCAUUCCACAACUACCGUAUUUCCUUGAUAUCUGGCUGCUCAAGAGACUUAAAAAAUCGAUUCAUGGAAACCCGAACAAAAGACCGAAUAUAAGUCAGACAUUCAAAGCUAUUCCGAAGAAAAAUUAUGACUUUUUCGGUAUCAGAUCGGAAAAAACAUUGGUAUAAGUACGUUGUGUGCGUAUGUACGACAACGAGCACUUUGAAGCCGAUAAAAGUGAGAUUUACCUCAGUCGGUUUUCUAAAGGUCACAAAGGAUUGAUAAAUUUAAUUAAACGUGUAUGUUGGGCGAAUUGUGUUCGUGUGCUAAUAUUUUUGCAAGUACAUUGAUUAUCAGUAUUUCAUAUUAUUACGAAAUUCGUUGUUCUCGUAUACGGUUCGUAUCACCGGAUCGAGGAUAUUCUUUUUAAGAGAAACACACU
Glossina fuscipes is the source of this 1177-nucleotide long non-coding RNA. RefSeq lists it as uncharacterized. The record is from RefSeq and is a predicted model, not a curated record. The transcript is spliced from 3 exons. NCBI's taxonomy places the organism in Eukaryota, Metazoa, Arthropoda, Insecta, Diptera, Glossinidae.